UAAGGAAUAUUGGACAAUGGAGGCAACUCUGAUCCAGCCAUGCCGCGUGAAGGAAUAAGGCCCUAUGGGUUGUAAACUUCUUUUAGACGGGACAAAACCCCUUUACGUGUAAAGGGUUGAUGGUACUGUCAGAAUAAGCAUCGGCUAACUUCGUGCCAGCAGCCGCGGUAAUACGAAGGAUGCAUGCGUUAUCCGGAAUUAUUGGGUUUAAAGGGUGCGUAGGCGGACUAAUAAGUCAGUGGUGAAAGCCUGCAGCUUAACUGCAGAAUUGCCAUUGAUACUGUUAGUCUUGAGUACAGUUGAGGUAGGCGGAAUGUGUCAUGUAGCGGUGAAAUGCUUAGAUAUGACACAGAACACCGAUUGCGAAGGCAGCUUGCUAAGCUGUAACUGACGCUGAGGCACGAAAGCGUGGGGAGCAAACA
This 422-nucleotide ribosomal RNA is filed under the name uncultured bacterium. RNAcentral describes it as "bacterial SSU rRNA". It matches the Rfam family "Bacterial small subunit ribosomal RNA", at positions 355 to 774 of the family's 1533-position model. The record is from RNAcentral.